CAGAGUUCGUGCCCGCAAGGGUAGAUCUCCCACCCGUGUCUUGUAACAUUGUUGCUUUGGGGGGCCCGCCCCCCAGAGACCAAACCCUGAAGCGAGUGUCGUCAGAGUACUAUACAAUAGUUA
RNAcentral lists this unclassified non-coding RNA (123 nucleotides) under uncultured Helotiales. RNAcentral's name for it is "sequence contains ITS1". Lineage: Eukaryota; Fungi; Ascomycota; Leotiomycetes; Helotiales. The record is from RNAcentral.